RNAcentral lists this ribosomal RNA (468 nucleotides) under uncultured bacterium. RNAcentral describes it as "partial 16S ribosomal RNA". It matches the Rfam family "Bacterial small subunit ribosomal RNA", at positions 28 to 507 of the family's 1533-position model. The record is from RNAcentral.
GACGAAAGCUGGCGGCGUGCUUAACACAUGCAAGUCGAACGGAAAGGCCCUGCUUUUGUGGGGUGCUCGAGUGGCGAACGGGUGAGUAACACGUGAGUAACCUGCCCUUGACUUUGGGAUAACUUCAGGAAACUGGGGCUAAUACCGGAUAGGAGCUCCUGCUGCAUGGUGGGGGUUGGAAAGUUUCGGCGGUUGGGGAUGGACUCGCGGCUUAUCAGCUUGUUGGUGGGGUAGUGGCUUACCAAGGCUUUGACGGGUAGCCGGCCUGAGAGGGUGACCGGCCACAUUGGGACUGAGAUGCGGCCCAGACUCCUACGGGAGGCAGCAGUGGGGAAUAUUGCACAAUGGGCGGAAGCCUGAUGCAGCAACGCCGCGUGCGGGAUGACGGCCUUCGGGUUGUAAACCGCUUUCGCCUGUGACGAAGCGUGAGUGACGGUAAUGGGUAAAGAAGCACCGGCUAACUACGUG